AGCAUAUCAAUAAGCGGAGGAAAAGAAACUAACAAGGAUUCCCCUAGUAACUGCGAGUGAAGAGGGAAAAGCUCAAAUUUAAAAUCUGGCAGUCUUUGGCUGUCCGAGUUGUAAAUUAGAGAAGUGUUAUCUGCUCAAGCCUGUGCAAAAGUCUCUUGGAAAAGGGCAUCAUAGAGGGUGACAAUCCCGUCUUUGGCACAGAUCACUUGCGCUUUUGUGAUGCGCUCUCGAUGAGUCGAGUUGUUUGGGAAUGCAGCUCCAAAUGGGUGGUAAAUUCCAUCUAAAGCUAAAUAUGGGCGAGAAACCGAUAGCGCACAAGUACCGUGAGGGAAAGAUGAAAAGAACUUUGAAAAGAGAGUUAAACAGUAUGUGAAAUUGUUGAAAGGGAAACGCUUGAAGUCAGUCGUAUCCUUCAGAAUCAACCUGACUUUUGGUUGGGUAUAAUUUUUGUUGGAUGGGUCAGCAUCAAUUUUGAUCAUUGGAUAAAGGACUUGGAAAUGUGGCAUCUUUAGAUGUGUUAUAGCCCUUGUUUGUAUACAAUGAUUGGGAUUGAGGAACUCAGUGUGACUUUGGUCUGGGGGUAUUACCUCACAUACGCACUUAGGAUGCUGGCAUAAUGGCUUUAAUCGACCCGUCUUGAAACACGGACCAAGGAGUCUAACAUACAUGCAAGUGUUUGGGUGGAAAACUCAAGCGCGUAAUGAAAGUGAAAGUUGAGAACCCUGUCAUGGGGUGCACUGACGCCCGGUCUUGAUCUUUUGUGACGGACCUGCGGUAGAGCAUGUAUGUUGGGACCCGAAAGAUGGUGAACUAUGCCUGAAUAGGGUGAAGCCAGAGGAAACUCUGGUGGAAGCUCGUAGCGAUUCUGACGUGCAAAUCGAUCGUCAAAUUUGGGUAUAGGGGCGAAAGACUAAUCGAACCAUCUAGUAGCUGGUUCCCGCC
Molecule: ribosomal RNA, 942 nt
Filed under: Hodophilus foetens
Lineage: Eukaryota; Fungi; Basidiomycota; Agaricomycetes; Agaricales; Clavariaceae
Also listed under: 1 other name
Description: LSU rRNA
Rfam family: Eukaryotic large subunit ribosomal RNA
Source: RNAcentral